GUGAACGCUGGCGGUAGGCCUAACACAUGCAAGUCGCACGGCAGCACAGUAAGAGCUUGCUCUUACGGGUGGCGAGUGGCGGACGGGUGAGGAAUACGUCGGAAUCUACUUUUUCGUGGGGGAUAACGUAGGGAAACUUACGCUAAUACCGCAUACGACCUACGGGUGAAAGCAGGGGAUCUUCGGACCUUGCGCGAUUGAAUGAGCCGAUGUCGGAUUAGCUAGUUGGCGGGGUAAAGGCCCACCAAGGCGACGAUCCGUAGCUGGUCUGAGAGGAUGAUCAGCCACACUGGAACUGAGACACGGUCCAGACUCCUACGGGAGGCAGCAGUGGGGAAUAUUGGACAAUGGGCGCAAGCCUGAUCCAGCCAUACCGCGUGGGUGAAGAAGGCCUUCGGGUUGUAAAGCCCUUUUGUUGGGAAAGAAAAGCAGCAGGUUAAUACCCCGCUGUUCUGACGGUACCCAAAGAAUAAGCACCGGCUAACUUCGU
RNAcentral lists this ribosomal RNA (490 nucleotides) under uncultured bacterium. RNAcentral's name for it is "partial 16S ribosomal RNA". It matches the Rfam family "Bacterial small subunit ribosomal RNA", at positions 29 to 506 of the family's 1533-position model. The record is from RNAcentral.